AACGUAGGGGGCGAGCGUUGUCCGGAAUUACUGGGCGUAAAGGGUGUGUAGGCGGAUUCGUAAGUCUAUUGUGAAAUUUCUCGGCUCAACCGAGAAACCGCGAUAGAUACUGCGAGUCUUGAGGACAGGAGGGGAGGGUGGAACUCCCAGUGUAGCGGUAAAAUGCGUGGAUAUUGGGAGGAACGCCGAUGGCGAAGGCAGCCCUCUGGAAUGUCCCUGACGCUGAAACACGAAAGCUGGGGGAGCAAACGGG
RNAcentral lists this ribosomal RNA (253 nucleotides) under uncultured bacterium. Its description in RNAcentral is "partial 16S ribosomal RNA". It matches the Rfam family "Bacterial small subunit ribosomal RNA", at positions 524 to 776 of the family's 1533-position model. The record is from RNAcentral.